CCUACGGGAGGCAGCAGUGGGGAAUAUUGUGCAAUGGGGGAAACCCUGACACAGCGACGCCGCGUGAGUGAAGAAGGCCUUCGGGUCGUAAAGCUCAAUAGUAUGGGAAGAAAGAAAUGACGGUACCAUACGAAAGCCCCGGCUAACUACGUGCCAGCAGCCGCGGUAAU
Molecule: ribosomal RNA, 170 nt
Filed under: uncultured bacterium
Lineage: Bacteria
Description: partial 16S ribosomal RNA
Rfam family: Bacterial small subunit ribosomal RNA
Source: RNAcentral